Molecule: ribosomal RNA, 1041 nt
Filed under: Enterococcus casseliflavus
Lineage: Bacteria; Bacillati; Bacillota; Bacilli; Lactobacillales; Enterococcaceae
Description: bacterial SSU rRNA
Rfam family: Bacterial small subunit ribosomal RNA
Source: RNAcentral
UUUCGGAUCGUAAAACUCUGUUGUUAGAGAAGAACAAGGAUGAGAGUAAAACGUUCAUCCCUUGACGGUAUCUAACCAGAAAGCCACGGCUAACUACGUGCCAGCAGCCGCGGUAAUACGUAGGUGGCAAGCGUUGUCCGGAUUUAUUGGGCGUAAAGCGAGCGCAGGCGGUUUCUUAAGUCUGAUGUGAAAGCCCCCGGCUCAACCGGGGAGGGUCAUUGGAAACUGGGAGACUUGAGUGCAGAAGAGGAGAGUGGAAUUCCAUGUGUAGCGGUGAAAUGCGUAGAUAUAUGGAGGAACACCAGUGGCGAAGGCGGCUCUCUGGUCUGUAACUGACGCUGAGGCUCGAAAGCGUGGGGGGCGAACAGGAUUAGAUACCCUGGUAGUCCACGCCGUAAACGAUGAGUGCUAAGUGUUGGAGGGUUUCCGCCCUUCAGUGCUGCAGCAAACGCAUUAAGCACUCCGCCUGGGGAGUACGACCGCAAGGUUGAAACUCAAAGGAAUUGACGGGGGCCCGCACAAGCGGUGGAGCAUGUGGUUUAAUUCGAAGCAACGCGAAGAACCUUACCAGGUCUUGACAUCCUUUGACCACUCUAGAGAUAGAGCUUCCCCUUCGGGGGCAAAGUGACAGGUGGUGCAUGGUUGUCGUCAGCUCGUGUCGUGAGAUGUUGGGUUAAGUCCCGCAACGAGCGCAACCCUUAUUGUUAGUUGCCAUCAUUUAGUUGGGCACUCUAGCGAGACUGCCGGUGACAAACCGGAGGAAGGUGGGGAUGACGUCAAAUCAUCAUGCCCCUUAUGACCUGGGCUACACACGUGCUACAAUGGGAAGUACAACGAGUUGCGAAGUCGCGAGGCUAAGCUAAUCUCUUAAAGCUUCUCUCAGUUCGGAUUGUAGGCUGCAACUCGCCUACAUGAAGCCGGAAUCGCUAGUAAUCGCGGAUCAGCACGCCGCGGUGAAUACGUUCCCGGGCCUUGUACACACCGCCCGUCACACCACGAGAGUUUGUAACACCCGAAGUCGGUGAGGUAACCUUUUUGGAG